This 935-nucleotide ribosomal RNA is filed under the name uncultured bacterium. RNAcentral's name for it is "bacterial SSU rRNA". It matches the Rfam family "Bacterial small subunit ribosomal RNA", at positions 68 to 1001 of the family's 1533-position model. The record is from RNAcentral.
GGGAUUGGAAAUAGCAAUAUUACCAUGAGAGUGGCGCACGGGUGCGUAACACGUAUGCAAUCUGCCCCUAACUGGAAGAUAGCCCGGCGAAAGUCGGAUUAAUGUUCCAUAACAUUGCGAAACGGCAUCGUUUUGUAAUUAAAGCUCCGGCGGUUAGGGAUGAGCAUGCGCGACAUUAGCUAGAUGGCGAGGUAACGGCUCACCAUGGCUACGAUGUCUAGGGGGUCUGAGAGGAUUAUCCCCCACACUGGUACUGAGACACGGACCAGACUCCUACGGGAGGCAGCAGUAGGGAAUAUUGGGCAAUGGACGCAAGUCUGACCCAGCCAUGCCGCGUGCAGGAUGACGGCCCUAUGGGUUGUAAACUGCUUUUGUACAGGAAGAAACCCCUUUACGUGUAGAGGGCUGACAUUACUGUAAGAAUAAGGAUCGGCUAACUCCGUGCCAGCAGCCGCGGUAAUACGGAGGAUCCAAGCGUUGUCCGGAUUUAUUGGGUUUAAAGGGUGCGUAGGCGGACCAUUAAGUCAGAGGUGAAAGUUUGCAGCUUAACUGUAAAAUUGCCUUUGAAACUGGUGGUCUUGAGUACAGUUGAGGUGGGCGGAAUGUGUCAUGUAGCGGUGAAAUGCUUAGAUAUGAUACAGAACACCGAUUGCGAAGGCAGCUCACUAAACUGUAACUGACGCUGAGGCACGAAAGCGUGGGGAGCGAACAGGAUUAGAUACCCUGGUAGUCCACGCCCUAAACGUUGAAUACUCGUUGUUGGCGAUAUACAGUCAGCGACUAAGCGAAAGCAUUAAGUAUUCCACCUGGGGAGUACGACCGCAAGGUUGAAACUCAAAGGAAUUGACGGGGGCCCGCACAAGCGGAGGAGUAUGUGGUUUAAUUCGAUGAUACGCGAGGAACCUUACCUGGGCUUGAAAGUUAGCGACCGCUGC